Molecule: ribosomal RNA, 332 nt
Filed under: Cedecea davisae
Lineage: Bacteria; Pseudomonadati; Pseudomonadota; Gammaproteobacteria; Enterobacterales; Enterobacteriaceae
Description: bacterial SSU rRNA
Rfam family: Bacterial small subunit ribosomal RNA
Source: RNAcentral
AUCUGCCUGAUGGAGGGGGAUAACUACUGGAAACGGUAGCUAAUACCGCAUAACGUCGCAAGACCAAAGAGGGGGACCUUCGGGCCUCUUGCCAUCGGAUGAACCCAGAUGGGAUUAGCUAGUAGGUGGGGUAAUGGCUCACCUAGGCGACGAUCCCUAGCUGGUCUGAGAGGAUGACCAGCCACACUGGAACUGAGACACGGUCCAGACUCCUACGGGAGGCAGCAGUGGGGAAUAUUGCACAAUGGGCGCAAGCCUGAUGCAGCCAUGCCGCGUGUGUGAAGAAGGCCUUCGGGUUGUAAAGCACUUUCAGCGAGGAGGAAGGCAUUGAG